UGCAACACGCAACAUUAAGAAGCAAAAAUAGAGUAAAAAUAAAAAGAAAAAAGCUUGUAAAAGGCUAUAUAAAAGCCAUUAAAAAACCGAAAAUGGGGGGGGGGCUUCCUUUUCUUUUGUAAUAUUUUCACAAAAAUACAACGAAUUAAUAAGAAAAUCAAAAAAGCAAAAAAAAAGGUUGAUCUCAGUCAUUUUCUUUUCGGUUUUUGCGUUUCUUUUUUGUUUAUUUUCUUCCUUUUUUUGUUUAUUUUCUAUAACUUUUUAAACAAAACGAAAAAGAAAAGAAAAGGGAUACUUACCUGUCUCGAAAGCCCGUCGUCGGAGACCAUUUUCGGCGUUGGAAUCGGACUGAAAGGGGUACGAAAGACCCCUCCUUUUUCAUAUCUUUCGGGCUAGGAAGGCCUGGUUUUUGUGUGUGUUGUGAAUCGGGGCUAAAAGGCUUCUUUUGCGCAACGUCGGCCACCGUCCACGGUGGUGCUACGGCGGUGGCGCUAAAGCCGACAACCAUGGUCGGUUAGAGGCCUGAGAGAGAGAGCUUUGCUCUCUGUUUUUUCUAAAGAAAGGUGAAACUGAAAUUUUUUGAGGUUUUUUUUAUAUAUUUAUAAUAAGCUUGAAACGGCGCCGUUUAAGCCCCAUGACCCGCGUGUGAUCCGACCCGCUCCAGGGGAGAUCCGCGUGUUUUCAUAAAAUGGGCUAUUUAUGCAAUAGGUCCCUCCGCUUUCGCAAUUUGCUUCAAUGUAGUAUUUUUUUAUUUCGGCCUGUGGAUUUUGCUUCUAUUCCGAUUUGGUCCUUAGACCAAUUGCUGCCCAUGGUUGAAAUGCAGCGUUUCAGGACGGGGAAAUAUUUCCCCACAAGUCCCUCACGCUUUAAGCGUGUUUCACUUUGGUCCUGUAUUAUUCCUUUUAUUUAUUUCAUAUUUAAGCCCCGAAGUUCGUUUAAAGUUUUAAUUUAGUCCUUUUGUAUUUUGUUUGUUUUCUUAUUAAAUAAUAAAUUUGAUGUUAUACUGUUACCAUUAAUUAUUAUUGCUGUUAUUUGUUUAUUUAUAUCUUUAAAAUCUCAAAAUUUAUCAUAUAUAUAUAUAUAUAUGUAUAUACUUAUUUUUGUAUUUUUUAUAUUUUAUAAUUUGUAUCUAUAUAUCUAUAUACAUAUUUUUUAUAAAUAUAUACACAUACUUAUAUGUUUUUACAUUUUCAUAUAGUUUUAUAUACAUACAUAUUCUUACGUACACAUACAUAUAUUUUUUAUACUUUAAAAUUUUAACUUACGUACAUAUAUAUAUUUUAUUUUUUUUUAUUUUUUUAUUACUAUUAUUUCAUUUGGUGUUCAUUUACUUAUUUAUUUACAUGCUCAUUGUUAUUAUUAUUAUUUAUUUAAGUGCAUUAGUUUGUGUUUGCAUAUUUACUUUAUUUUGUGUAUACAUUGUUGAUUUCUUUUUAUUAUACAUUUAUCAUCUUAUUUAUUUAUCCUUUUUAUUUGCAUGCAUUAUUUUAUUUGCAUUAUCAUCAUUAUCAUUAUUUUACAUUCACUUUUUACUCGGAUUCGUCAAAAAUAGAAAUUUCAAAAUAAAUAAUACUCGAUAUUUAGGACCUUCGAGAGAAUCGAGCCAUAACGUAUUGGGUUCUGACUUUUUUUUCGUUGAAUUUAAAUAAUCGAUAUUACUCUUUUGAAAAUGAUAAAAAGCUCGUUAUCAAGAAUUCAAUAUGUUGUGUUCUAACGCAUUGGAUGUGACAUGUUGUUUUCUCGAGACGAGGAUUUUUCGAAAUAAAUACAAUAUUCAAUGUUUAAUAUUUUGAGAAAUUGUGCCCUAACGUAUUGGGUUGCGAUUUCUUCAUUUGAUUUAAACAAUUGAAUAUUCUUUUAAACUUUAUUACACGAAUCUUUUCAAACUCAAGUUUUAAAUGAUAUUGGGAAUUAAAAAAUUAUCGCGUUCUAACUUACUGGUCGUGAAUAAAUAAGCAUUUUUCAUUCGCGUAUCGGGAAUUUGAGACAUUGUAUUCUAACUUACUGGAUAUGAUUCUCUUUCUCGAAUAACGUGAAAUAUACCCAUUUUCCUGAAAAUUUUCAACGUUUUAAUACAAGGAUCGUAUUUUUUUUUAAAUUUCUUCCAAGUUAUCAAUUUUCGACAUCAAGACAUUAAUAAAUCAACUAGGUACCAAUUUUGGGCGUUACGAGGGUGCUAAUCCUUCCUCGUACGUAACCGACUCCUGAACUCGCUUUCUAAAUUUCGUGGACCAAAAUCGUUGUUUUAAUAAAAUUAAACCGUUUAUUAAAAACAACCAGUUUUCGAGGUGACCCAAUCACACCUCAUCAAAAAGGAUUGGUGGUGACUCCCAUUUUUGUUUUCAUUUUCCAAAACCCAAGUCGACCCCGUUUUUCAUUCAAAAAAUGGUGUCAACAGCUUGGCGACUCCACUGGGGACUUUAAAUAAAAGAGUCAAGCCACGAGUUGAUUAUUUCUUGUCUUUUUGUCGAAAGUUGAAAAUUUGAUUUAAAUAUACGAUCCUCUCAUUGCAUUUCAUUUGUUUUGAGUUAUAGUUUUUAUCAUGUUUUGUAUUUUAAAUUUUUAUAUCUUUCUGCAUUGCAUUUCAUGACCUUUGGUCACACCCUUUUAAGUGGGAGUGAGAAGCUACUCCUUCGUGAGGUUUUUACCUCCGUGCAGGAUAGUGGAUCGCUUUCGGGAUACAUCCGUAUCUAUGUCUUCGUGAGAUUUUUAUCUCCGUGCAGCCAUAGGGAAAUGUAUUCCCCUAAACCGAACUCGAUCUAUAUGAACCUAUAAUGGGUGAAAAUCGAGGAAUCUGCUAGUUCGGGUACCUGUGCUUUAGAACCAAACCACAUGUAGUGAACCUUAGGAGCCCACCCUAGGUAGAAUCACUUCGAGCCCCUAGUAUUCACCCGAAUAGGUGUUCUAUUUAUUCUUGCUUGCUUUUGUACUAACCUGUUUUCUUUUUGUUAUGAUUGCGUUGCAUUUUCAUCAUAAAAAGAGGUGUUGAUUCACGUUCGGUUGUUUAAUAGAGAGCUUGUCAUAAGGAAAUGGGUUUCUUGAUAAAGUGGAUAAUAAUACGGUUGUCCGAAUAUGACCCAAGAAAACGUGAUAGUUUAAUGGAGGAGUACACAACCAUUGCUCCGUUGCCCGAGGAUUCAAGAUGACGAAGAUUAUUCGAGAGCCACUGAACUUUCUUAAAGAGAAGCCAUGAGCAUCACGAGGAUAAGUGAGCAACGAGUCGCAGCUCGGAUCAAGCAAAAAGGAGAUAGAAGAGAUGUUCCUUUUGAAGAGUUUGUGAGAUUCAUCUUAACACGCGAAUGAAGAAAGGAAUCGUUGUCUUGGAAUAUAAGGGCAAAGCCGUAUAUAUAUAUUCGCUUUAUGUAAAGAGAUUUGUUUUCUAGUAAAGUUCAUCUAAUAGAAUUGAACCAAGAAUCAACAUCUCUUUUUUGCAUUCAUUUCAUGCAUUUGCAUUACAUAACAUCAUGUGCAUUAAAGACCAUUAAAAGAGACCCUAAUUGAGUAAAAAAUAUUUCAGCUAAUCUGGAAAAACCAACAUUCUUGCGAUACCCGAAUAGAAACUGAAGGAAUGGACCAAAGGUUGGAGAGAUUAGAGCGAAUGUAGAUACAGAUGCAGGAGCAAUUGACCGAAUUUCAACAGGAGAUGAGAGAUCAGAUGCUAGGAUUACAAAGAACUAUGAUAAGCCGAUUCAACCGAUUGUUAGCUGGAGAGUUAGAAAAAAGGAAGGAUCUGAUAGACCACUCUGAGGUUGAUAAUGAGGAUUUUGCUCCAACAAGUGUCCAGGUUCAGCCAGAUGAGCACCCACAAGGGGCACCCUUUACCAUAAGAUCUCAACAAGAUCAGACUGGUACAACAGCACCAGUGAGUGGCUUGACGUGCCCAAGAUCCAAUUUUCUUGUUGCACGUGAUGAUCCAGUAGAAAUGAAGCAGGUGAGGGCAGAGUACCAAGAUACUAUAGAAGCCCCAAGGAAGAAGGGGAAUACGAGGAAUAAUGCAAACAGAUAUAACAAGGGCCACUCAAAACCAAUCAUUGUGGGCCGGCCAAAAACAGAAACCACCAGACAUCGGAGUUCUUUAAAGCAAGAAUUUGGAGUGAAACCAGGUACUGAGAAGCUCCAGUUCACACCAAAUCUGACGUCAUAUAAGAAGUUGUAUCAAAGCUUGUUCGAUACGCAUGUUGUUGCUCCUCAUUACUUAAAACCCAUACAGCCUCCGUAUCCCAAAUGGUAUGACACGAAUGCACAAUGCGACUACCAUGCGGGAAUUACGGGGCAUUCUAUAGAAAAUUGCACGACCUUUAAAAAGCUAGUCGAAAGGUUUAUCAAUAUGGGCAUUGUCAAAUUUGAGGAUUCACUCAGUAUAGAAAACCCGCUACUCAAUCAUACGGAUAAUGAAGGGAAUGCGAUGAAUGAAGAAAUGUUGGGAAAUGUUCACAUCAGUGCUGAAUACGAAGAAACAACUGGAGAAGAGAUCUUAUUAGAUGUUCGCCCUUAUAAACUUGGGAGUGUUCUAAAGAAACCCCUGUAGUAUUUAGAGCUUGCUCAGAGUAAUAUUCAAAACACACUUGUUGCUCUUAGCCUAGAGGCAACAAGAAGUCUUUUGUGAAAUAGACUCAUGUCUGAACGUCAUUAUUUCAAUGGAAUGCAUCUUUGCAAUCUUUUGAACCAAUAUUCUUUCAUUUCUUGAAUGAUUAUUCUUUUAUUCUUUCAUCCAAAUCAUUCUUUCAUUCAUAAUCAUACUGUGCAGAUAAUUAUUAUUAAAUUCAUACAUUCUUUGUAUAUUCUCUUGUACCUACAAUAGGUCCCUGAAUAUCAACGACAUGAAUGACACUGCUACAGACUUAAAAUCUCCUUUUGAGCGAGACAUGUGUUUAGAGGGAUCUCACGACUUUGAAGAUGACACAGAUUAUAGCCUAUCUCCGGACUUGUUGAGGAUGGUAGAACAAGAGGAUAAACAGAUCCUACCUCUCAAGGAAUCGUUAGAAAUUGUGAGCUUGAUGAAGACUAGAAUUGACCUGACCACAGAGACGAAGCAAGACCUUAUUGAGUUACCUCUAGAGUUCAAAGAUGUCUUUGUAUGAUCAUACCAGGGUAUGCCUCGAUUCUUAUAAUAAAGCAUGCACAACAGCACGAUGUCAGAAAUUUACAGUGCGAACGAUGCAAUUCUUUGCCGGGGCAAUGCCUCUCUCGUUGAGUCAGCAUAGCUUUGCCCAUUUGAAUUUGAGUUUCCAUCCCUUCAAGAUGUUGUUGGAUUUUGUCCGGAUUAAAGAGGAAGAUCCAAAGUUUUCUAUCGUAGUUGCGUCCCAAAAGGGCUCUAUGAAAGAAAUCUGGUACCAAAGAAGAUUUUUCACAUACAAGAUGAAAGUGGAAGACUUUAGAAUAACAUUGAUUCUGGUCGAAAAACAUGACCAGGACUUGCCUAAUCUCAUGAGUUCAGACUCAAAAAAAAAUCAAAAAAUCAAAAAAAAAAUAAAAAAAAAUCAAAGUCAAAAUAGAAAAAAAAAAGAGAAAAAGAAAAAUGAGAGGUCAAGGCGAAAACCUGCAAAGGGCGCUUUGACCAAAGGUGGAUCUGAGUUGAAAACCCGAAAAAGGGCGACUCAAAUUUUGAGCAAAAUGGGGCAUGGACAGCACCAUUAUCGAAGACUUCUAAUGGGCGUUGCUUCAUUUUUGAGAGGCUACUUCAUGAAUCAAGGUCAUCCUAUACCGAUACAGAUUUUCAGAGAGGAUGGUAUUGGAAAAUGCAUUGAACUUAAAUGAUAGCACGAAAAAUUAGGUCUGAAAUCAAUUUAGAAGCAGACACCACGUUUUGUCACCAAAUUACCUAGAGGUGAACAAGGACUGGCAUCAAAAAUUACUAUUUUCCCUCAUCGUUUGUCGAACAUCUGUACUGGGGCAACACCUAUCUUUUUGGUUUACAGGAUUGAGGUAGUUUUACCUAUUAAAAUCCCCUCAUUGCUUGUUGGAGGGAUCAAAUCGCGAUGUGAUCAGUUGGCCCUAGGAAAAGGGGUUAAAAGCUAUUUAUUAGAGUCAGAUGUACCAUAAAUAAAUAAUAUGAGCCCAUAAUAAAUAGGCUCGUCUCAGAGAAUUCCACGAGAGGGCUGGAUGUUAAAAAAGAUUCUUCCUUAACGAAAGGAUUCUAGAAGGAAAUGAAUGCCAAGCCGGGGAUGUCAUUGUGUUAUAAAGAAGACCAUUUUCAGAGGAGCACUGAUCUUGAGUUAGAUUGAUAAUCCUAUAAACUCGGAUCUAGUCAAGAAACACUUCGUUUAAAGAAGAAGAAAAGACCAAGGUAAAAAUCCGCAAAGGGCACUUUGAAAAAAAAACUCUGUUGGGGAAAUGCCGUUCUCUUGGGCCUAUCGCAAUUUUGCCUAUUGAAGACGAGAUUCUUUCUGAGUUUUUGGACCCAAUCCCGAUUGAGGAGGAAUGUUCAAAGUUAUCCAUCAUGGUCAAAUGCGCCAAAAGCAAAUGAUGUGAGCUCAAAAAAAAAGAGGGAGAAGAAGAAGAGAAUUCCAUGAGAGGACCUAGUAUCGAAGAAGAUCCUUCCCACACAAAAAGAACUUCAUGCCAAGAUGGGAAGAACCUUAUGUGGAAGGCCUUAUCUGGAAAAGCGUCAAUCUUGAUCGGAAAGGAUAACGAGGACAUGUCUAAUCCAAUGAGUUCAAAAAAAAAGAGAAAAAAAAGGAGAGGCCAGGGUGAAAACCCGCAAAGGGCACCUUGAGACCAAAGGAGAUUUGAGUUGAAAACCCGAAAAUGGCGGCUCAAACUUUUGAUCAUAAUGGGACAUUAAGUGAUCAGAGCGACUCAAAUUUUGGAUCAAAUUGGGGGAUGAGGCGAUCAAAGCAGCUCAAAUUUUGAUCAGAUCGGGGCAUAUGGUGAUCUUGCUAUACCUGAAUCAAUAGGAAAGGGUAGGCGACAUCUUGGGGCAUCGACAAAGUCCUGUUGAUCUCCUAAACACAUGUCUUCAAAAAGUUUGUACAGAGAAAUUCAAGCUGCGAUAUCUGGGGCACCCAACCUUCAUAUUGUUUAUAUAUUAAAUUUGUUGUUCUUGGAAUACUUUUUCUUUUCUAAGAUAUACAUUCCCAAUCAAAUUUUUUAUUAUUCUUUACUAUUUUUGAUAAUUUAUUCAUUUUGAGCUAUGCUCAGAACCAUCUUUAUUCUUAUCCAUUAUUAUAACCCUUUUUGCAAGCAUGUUGCAUUGGAAUAAUGAUUAAUGGACAAAUAUUACUUUCACAAGGGAAGUUUGCAUAUUACUCUAGAAGUUUCUAAAUAAUAUAGGAACCUGAAACAGGACUAUUGUUUAGAAAACACCAAGUGCUCACCUGCUCACCUGCUCACCUACAACACGCAACAUUAAGAAGCAAAAAUAGAGUAAAAGUAAAAAGAAAAAAGCUUGUAAAAGGCUAUAUAAAAGCCAUUAAAAAACUGAAAAUAUGGGGGGCUUCCUUUUCUUUUGUAAUAUUUUCACAAAAAUACAACGAAUUAAUAAGAAAAUCAAAAAAGCAAAAAAAAAGGUUGAUCUCAGUCAUUUUCUUUUCGGUUCUUGCGUUUCUUUUUUGUUUAUUUUCUUCCUUUUUUUUGUUUAUUUUCUAUAACUUUUUAAACAAAACGAAAAAGAAAAGAAAAGGGAUACUUACCUGUCCCGAAAGCCCGUCGUCGGAGACCAUUUUCGGCGUUGGAAUCGGACUGAAAGGGGUACGAAAGACCCCUCCUUUUUCAUAUCUUUCGGGCUAGGAAGGCCUGGUUUUCGUGUGUGUUGUGAAUCGGGGCUGAAAGGCUUCUUUUGUGCAACGUCGGCCACCGUCCACGGUGGCGCUACGGCGGUGGCGCUAAAGCCGACAGCCAUGGUCGGUCAGAGGCCAGAGAGAGAGAGCUUUGCUCUCUGUUUUUUCUAAAGAAAGGUGAAACUGAAAUUUUUUGAGGUUUUUUUUAUAUAUUUAUA
RNAcentral lists this long non-coding RNA (7936 nucleotides) under Gossypium raimondii (Peruvian cotton). RNAcentral describes it as "long non-coding RNA (GRAI_LNC000562)". The record is from RNAcentral. Lineage: Eukaryota; Viridiplantae; Streptophyta; Magnoliopsida; Malvales; Malvaceae.